AACAUAGUAUAGUAAAUAAAGCAAACGCUACUUUCUUAAUUCACAUGCCAAAAAAGAAAAAAAAAGUAUUUUAGUUAUUUUCGUUCUUCUCAAAUUUCAAAAAAUUCACAUGCCAAUAUUCACAACUUCUCCACCAAUCAAAUUCUAAGUUUCACACUUUUUAUUUCACAACUCUCCUCGUUUUAGCAUGUCCAUCUCGUUCCAUCGAUUAAAUACCAUCACCAAGACACAGGAACCAACAACCUUGGUUGCUUCAUUGUUCCCUUGCAAUGAGAAGUUUUGAAAUGAACAAUGACCAAGUGAGCAAAAAAUGCACAUGCAGCAACAAUGACAUCUUAGCUGCAGUCAAUUCUAUAAAAUUUGGAAAAAUCAACCUAGCUCUUGUUACUUGUCUUUCACAUAGCAGUUUCCUAACAUCAUACCGAAUAUUCCUUUCUUUUUAUUUCAUACUACAUACAUAUGACAAAUUUAAUUAUGUUGCAUCUGUAAAAAUUGUAUGAGCCUUGCACUCCAACCAGGCAUAGCAACAAAAAUGUAUCAUUGAUUUUCGUAUGUACCAACCUCUGCUUCAGCCUGCCAAAUAAAUAGGGGUCACAAUAGCCAGAAUACGUUACACAAAUCCCAAGUCUCUAUUACCUGGGCAAAAUAAUCAUAAUUGAAACAUUGUAACAUGAAUAUAUAAUGAAUAACAAUGCAAAUCUAAUGAUUUUCUAAUACAAUCACAAUACUACUAUAAUUCAUAUAGAGUGCAGAUGUUGUGUGAAUGUAAUUUUCUUAAACAAAAAUUACAAUUCCAUAGCUAUAUAUUUAAUGCAGCAAUCACCAUAAAAGGUCUUAUGAGUAUCAAUUUAAGGGAUUCAAAUAAAUUCACAUUUCCUACGCUAUUACCAUUUGAUUCUCACCAUAAGAUUUCAAGAUUCAAAGCAAGCUACUACAACGGAAAAGGGGCAACCAAAGAUCCAAAAACUGCAUCCUGGGUUUUAAAAAGCCCGAGGCGCACGAGGCGCAAACAUGCCUCGGAGCCUAGGCGCAGGGCUUUAAGCGCAGGCGCGGGCUUUUCGUAGGCGAGGCGCAGUAAAGCCUAAAAAAUUCUAAUAUAUUUACCUACAUUAUAUUUUAUACCAAAAACACAACUUAAAACCACAAAUAGUACUUAAACACACAUAU
This 1167-nucleotide long non-coding RNA is filed under the name Salvia miltiorrhiza (redroot sage). RNAcentral describes it as "long non-coding RNA (SMIL_LNC009189)". The record is from RNAcentral. Lineage: Eukaryota; Viridiplantae; Streptophyta; Magnoliopsida; Lamiales; Lamiaceae.